This 467-nucleotide ribosomal RNA is filed under the name uncultured bacterium. RNAcentral's name for it is "partial 16S ribosomal RNA". It matches the Rfam family "Bacterial small subunit ribosomal RNA", at positions 28 to 507 of the family's 1533-position model. The record is from RNAcentral.
GAAGAACGCUGGCGGCGUGCUUAACACAUGCAAGUCGAACGGAAAGGCCUCUUUCGGGGGGUACUCGAGUGGCGAACGGGUGAGUAACACGUGAGUAACCUGCCCUUGACUUUGGGAUAACUUCAGGAAACUGGGGCUAAUACCGGAUAGGAGCUCCUGCUGCAUGGUGGGGGUUGGAAAGUUUCGGCGGUUGGGGAUGGACUCGCGGCUUAUCAGCUUGUUGGUGGGGUAGUGGCUUACCAAGGCUUUGACGGGUAGCCGGCCUGAGAGGGUGACCGGCCACAUUGGGACUGAGAUACGGCCCAGACUCCUACGGGAGGCAGCAGGGGGGAAUAUUGCACAAUGGGUGGAAGCCUGAUGCAGCAACGCCGUGUGCGGGAUGACGGCCUUCGGGUUGUAAACCGCUUUCGCUCAUGACGAAGCUUUGUGUGACGGUAGUGGGUAAAGAAGCACCGGCUAACUACGUG